This 257-nucleotide unclassified non-coding RNA is filed under the name uncultured Microdochiaceae. RNAcentral describes it as "sequence contains ITS2". Lineage: Eukaryota; Fungi; Ascomycota; Sordariomycetes; Xylariales; Microdochiaceae. The record is from RNAcentral.
AACGCACAUUGCGCCCAUUAGUAUUCUAGUGGGCAUGCCUGUUCGAGCGUCAUUUCAACCCUUAAGCUUAGCUUAGUAUUGGGAAUCUGCUUAACCGCAGCUCCUUAAAUCUAGUUGGCAGAGCACAGCUGUACUCUGAGCGUAGUAAUUCAUUAUCUCGCUUUCUGAAGACAGUUGUACGAUAGCCACAAACUUUGCAUCUUGCAAACUUUUUAAUGGUUGACCUCGGAUCAGGUAGGAAUACCCGCUGAACUUAA